AACAAAAGUGAGAGCCGUGGCCGGGGGACGCUGGACCUCGGCGAGCCGGGGUGAUCGAAGGGGAGGAGUCCGGCCGGGGGGGCCCAGCGCCGCUCUAGGGCGGGUCCUUUGCCCCCGCCCGCCCCCGAGGGACGGUGAAUCCCCGGGCGGGUGAGACCUGGCGGCGUGAGCGGCGGCCCCCCCGCGCAGUGUCGCCCCCGAAACGGCCACCGGCGCCCCGGGCGCAGACAGCGGGGCCGCUGCCCGCCGCGGAAGCCCCUGCCUUUCCCCCAAAGCUUCCUGCCCGGCCGGGAUGGGACUCCGGGCUGCUGCUGCCCGACGGUACCGCCCGGCGCACNGCCACCCCCACCCCCACCCGAUGAGCGCAGCACCCCGCGGCCGGGCCCUAUUGCAGUCGCCCAUAAAUGCAAAGGCGAGAAGCCACCAAUACCUGUUUGAGGAGAUGGCAUUUUAAUUAGCUCACUCCAGCUGCCGUAGGCCCCCGGCCCUGUCCCACCUCUCCUCCCCCUCCCACUGCCCUCUCCCAACCUCCCCGCUCACCCCCAUCUAUGUAAAAAAGCCAUAAAGCCUUUCUCCAAUCGCCUUCUUGGAGUUUAUGCAACCCCCAGAACACAGGUUGAUUGGAAAGGUCUCUCUCCUGGAUAACAACAAUUCAAUGUGCCUUGACAUUUUAAUAGCCUGCCGUCCUGGUGAACACAAUCGAGCAAGGGCAGUGAAGCAAAAAUCAUUAGGUGGCUGGACUCAGACACAUCACGCUCCAGUUUGGGUUCCAAGGUGCUUCUCUCUGGAUUUUCACCUGCCUUGCCAAAAAUGAUUGAUUACGCCGGGCUGACUGGGUGUCCGGCAAUACCCAACAAAUGACUUUGGCCCCUAACAGCAGGCCUUGGCCAGAUAGAAAUCAAUAUUUCACCAUUAAAAUCUAUCAAAGAAGAGUUAAGGCACCAUCUGUCCCUGCCGCCUCUCUAUGGUGUGUGAACAUUAAAUCCGACACUUGUACUACAUGGGUAAUCAAUAUAUAGUGGUUCACAGAUCAUUUGUGGUUCCCUUUUAGCAGUGAUGGAUGUCUGGAAUCGUUGUGAUUCAUUUUGUCAGACCAUUAAACAAGAUUCUGUCCAGUUCCUUCCUGAUUUCAUUUAGAGGAUCAUUCUUCACAGUUCAUAAGAGGGAAACGGUUUUACCAAUCUGCUUCUAUUUCAAUAAGUCACUUUAUAGAGAUUUUGUGUCCUCCAGACUGUAAAAAUUCUGGAGAGAUAGUACAAACAGACCUCUAAAACUAUUCACUGCAUGACAUAUGCAUAAAGUGUGAAGAGAGGAAUGUAAAUAUGUUUACCUCUUUAUCUGCAAAUGUUGGUUUUAACCCCCUCCUGGCUGGAGUGCUGGCCUGUGGGGCACUCUCAGAACAGUGCCUGCCACAGCAGGAGGAGGGUGCACUGGUGACCAGGGACCGAUUCUUAGAGGCAGGGGGAACCUCCUGAUCCCUCAGUGCCAUGGUUAAAAGCAAAUGGGAAUGGCUUUUCCAGAGGCUGCAUUUCAGACCUCUGUUUCUACAGUCAAGAUAAUCUUGCAUCUCACCCAAAAGGUUGGCAAAUGCCUCUCGGUACUCUGGUGCAGCAUGCCAACCCAAGACAAGAAACAGUGACUGUGCCCUUGAGGGCAGGGUAUGGAUGAGCAUAAGGACACGCAUGAUCAUAACAGCUGCCAUUUGUGGAGCAUCAACCUGUGCCAGGCGCAAAAUAUGCCCCAGUCUCACCCUUGACAAUUUUACAAGAUAGGUACUCUUCUCCCCACUUUCCAGUGGGGAAACUGAGGCUCGGACAAGUUGAAUAACCUGCCUAAGAUUACCCUACCCAGGGAACUAGAGGGUCACGACUCAGCCCCAGACCUGUCUGACACCCAAGAGCCCACGUGACUGUGGCCAGCUCUUGGGUGUUGGCCAUCACUCCACAAAUGGUUUUGUUUCAAGCCAAGUGAAUUACUUUCAGUCCUCCUGGGCUAUAUACUUACUCCAACCAAUCAGGGUACUGUUAGGAAAUAGAACUUUUUUAUUAUUCUUUUAAGUAAUUCUGCAACAGGAUCACUAACUAAUGCACUCCAAAGCGAAACAAUUUAUUUUAAACCGUUUUCCUGUUUUGGAUUAUUGGAUAAUUAUAUCACUUUGGCUGAUAUAAGUACAGAUAAGCAGAUGUUGAUUUAAAUAUUAGUACAGACACAUACACAUAUGUAUAUAUACAGAUAUGUACACAUAUGCACAUAUAUUUGAUAUAAUGAUUAUAAAUCAUAAUAUAUAUAUAUAUUAUUUGAAAGACUCUAGAGAUGAAGUAGUUUUUCCUUCUCUCCCUUCCUUUUAAAAUUUCCUUUAAAGUAACUGAGUCUCAGAAAGAAUAAAAUCUGACCUGGCGUGAGAAUCUUACUUCCU
Molecule: long non-coding RNA, 2416 nt
Filed under: Vulpes vulpes (red fox)
Lineage: Eukaryota; Metazoa; Chordata; Mammalia; Carnivora; Canidae
Description: lncRNA (ENSVVUG00000018285.1)
Source: RNAcentral